Non-coding RNA from Cinara cedri, 385 nucleotides. The record is from the annotation of a GenBank genome assembly. Lineage: Eukaryota; Metazoa; Arthropoda; Insecta; Hemiptera; Aphididae.
CACUAUUUUUAUACUUACGGCUAUAUUAUACUGUUUGUUCUUUUAAAAUAUUUACGAGUACCUAUCUGUUUGUUUCAUAAAAUACAUCAUUGAUUUUGGUGUCAUGUAUUUUGAUUUCGGUAUAUUUAUAGUGGCCAUAGUGAAGUAAAAUAAAAUAAAUCAAAAGCGACACGAGGGCGUAUCAAACCAAACGCGUGGGUAACUUUGUCUGUAAAACAAACGUUAAUGCUUAAGAGGUAUUUAUUUUCAAAUAAAUACGAACCAAACGGAUUACUUAAUGUUGUUCGGGUACCUAAUUAAAUUUAAAUCCAUUCGGAACUAUCAACGAUAAAGCAAUGACAUUAGCUGUUUCAAUGAACUGAGUUAUGAAAAAUCAUUUGCUAAU